RNAcentral lists this transfer RNA (63 nucleotides) under Deleatidium vernale. Its description in RNAcentral is "tRNA-Ala". Lineage: Eukaryota; Metazoa; Arthropoda; Insecta; Ephemeroptera; Leptophlebiidae. The record is from RNAcentral.
UAGGGCUAUAGUUAACUAUAACAUUUGACUUGCACUCAUAAGGUACCGAUCACGGUUAGUCUU